Nannospalax galili (Upper Galilee mountains blind mole rat) is the source of this 132-nucleotide small nucleolar RNA. Lineage: Eukaryota; Metazoa; Chordata; Mammalia; Rodentia; Spalacidae. The record is from Ensembl.
UGCCUCCUGGUGAUUACGACAGGCUGUAUUUUUACACUGGCUAUAUAGAAAGAGGAGGCAGAACAAACCUGCCCCUAUAUACCCCAGCCCAGGCCACUGUGCUUGGUCUGUAUUGUGAAUAGGGAGACAAGG